CUACGGGAGGCAGCAGUGGGGAAUAUUGGACAAUGGGGGAAACCCUGAUCCAGCAAUGCCGCGUGUGUGAAGAAGGCCUGCGGGUUGUAAAGCACUUUCGGUUGGGAGGACAGCUUCUAGCACUAAUAUUGUUGGAAGUUGACGUUACCUUCAGAAGAAGCACCGGCUAACUCCGUGCCAGCAGCCGCGGUAAAUACGGAGGGUGCAAGCGUUAAUCGGAAUUACUGGGCGUAAAGCGCGCGUAGGCGGCUAGAUCAGUCGGGUGUGAAAGCCCCGGGCUUAACCUGGGAACUGCAUCCGAUACUGUCUAGCUUGAGUACAGGAGAGGAGAGUGGAAUUCCACAUGUAGCGGUGAAAUGCGUAGAUAUGUGGAGGAACACCAAUGGCGAAGGCAGCUCUCUGGCCUGAUACUGACGCUGAGGUGCGAAAGCGUGGGGAGCAAACAGGAUUAGAUACCCCAGUAGUC
RNAcentral lists this ribosomal RNA (466 nucleotides) under uncultured bacterium. RNAcentral's name for it is "partial 16S ribosomal RNA". It matches the Rfam family "Bacterial small subunit ribosomal RNA", at positions 339 to 795 of the family's 1533-position model. The record is from RNAcentral.